Molecule: ribosomal RNA, 472 nt
Filed under: uncultured marine bacterium
Lineage: Bacteria
Description: bacterial SSU rRNA
Rfam family: Bacterial small subunit ribosomal RNA
Source: RNAcentral
AGGGUUUGAUCCUGGCUCAGAACGUACGCUGGCGGCACGCCUAACACAUGCAAGUCGAACGCAGUAGCAAUACUGAGUGGCAAACGGGUGAGUAUAAUGUGGGAAUCUGCCUUUUGGUUUGGAAUAACACGGGGAAACUUGUGCUAAUACCGAAUAAGCCCUUACGGGGAAAGUUUUAACGCCGAAAGAUGAGCCCGCACUUGAUUAGCUAGUUGGUAAGGUAAAAGCUUACCAAGGCAACGAUCAAUAGCUGUUCUUAGAGGAAGACCAGCCACAUUGGGACUGAGACACGGCCCAGACUCCUACGGGAGGCAGCAGUGGGGAAUCUUGCACAAUGGGGGAAACCCUGAUGCAGCGAUGCCGCGUGAGUGAAGAAGGCCCUUGGGUUGUAAAACUCUUUCGUCGGGGAAGAAAAUAACUGUACCCGAAUAAGAAGGUCCGGCUAACUUCGUGCCAGCAGCCGCGGUAAUAC